GUGCCAACCUGAUCGCUCCCCGUUGUGAUGCUCUCUGCGAUCCGACCUAGGCCGACGCCGAGGACCCUUCUCGCCGUCGGCGACCAUGGCGUACGGCAACCGCGUCACCACCUUCGAGGACUCCGAGAAGGAGAGCGAGUACGACUAUGUCCGCAAGGUCCGCGCCUCCCCCUUCCUCUCCCGUCCGCAUCGCUUGCGCCUAGAUCCCGCUGCUCGGUUUCACGCGGUCUAUAGUGGGCGUGGGCUGCACGCCUGCACGGCACCGUGUAUGGGUCGUCGGCUUCUGGCGUGCUCGGAUCGAGCUAAAUUGCUGUCAGAUUUGGUUACCUGCGGGUUCUAGGCAUGGGAUUUGGGUGAUGUUGGCGGUUACUGUCGUGGAUCUCUUAAGAUCUAGCCAGCAUUGGUGAUCAGGUGGGGGUGGCUUGGUGCAGUGGUUUUGGAGAUUUGCGGGGUGGUGUUUUGAUUGCAAUGUUGUGAUUUGACUACCUCGAUUCUCGAGAGUUAUUGGGGUCUUUGGUUCACGCUGCCAUGUAAUUAGUUGAAUUAGUGAAAGAUGUGCAUAAGUUUACCAUUUUGUAGAAGCUAGAUUCAUUUUUUGAGCUUGGUAUUGAUCGAUCAUGGCCAUUUUCAGGUGAGUUUUACUACACUAAUAAUGUGUGUGAUUUAGGUGGGGCAAGUGCGUGGACCUGCAGAGUGCUUUGUGUUGCAUUUUGUUUGUAGAAGUAUUAACAUUGUUUUUCUUUGCAUAAUCAAAGAGAAUGAAGUCCCAUAGUGCACAUACAACGCCAGAGGUUGGCAGUGGUUGCAACGCCGAAAGCAGAAGUUGUUGGCUAACUGGCCAUUGAAUACUUUGUAGUACAACCAUUGAUCAACCUGUUAGUAGAGCCUUGGCUUACCAAGUUCAUGUGUUGUGAUCCUCUUUUCCUUAGUUUCAAUAUAAUGCAGACAUGCUGGUUAGAUUUGUUCUGCUACUGUCACCCACAUCUUGUUUGCACCAUUUGCAUCCGUCCAGUGAUCCCUAUGCUGUUCGUGUAUCUUGUGUAGGACAUGAAGCAUUGGCCCCUCAUAGCUCCCCUGCCGUCCUACGGGAGAGGAAGGGACGAGCCUGGCGCAAGGUACAACAAUUUCAUUGGAGGAUCCAAUCUCACUGACGUCAUCAUCACAGGCAAAAAUGGAACGAUCAACGGGAAGGGGAAGGUCUGGUGGGACAAGUUCCACGCCAAGGAGCUCAAGUUCAUCCGCGGCCACCUCCUCGAGCUCCUCUACUCUGAGAACAUCAUCAUCUCCAAUGUCACCUUCGUCAACGCGCCGUACUGGAACCUCCACCUAAAUGAUUAGGGUAACGAUUAGGACGCCUAAUCGGUCCUGGUAAGUGUGAACUAUGCAAUCUACAUACAACCUGUGAAGUGUGAACUAUAGGAUUCCAGUGGACAGUGGUAAUUGGUAAGAUAUAGGAAAGGUAGAGAAGGAGGGGAGCAGGUGCUAAGGGAGUGGUAACUGCACAUAAUCGUUGUGGCAAGGUUUUUGAAGCGAGUAGAUGAGCCUCGGCAGUCAGUAAUUUCUGUUGUUGCUUCGCAACCCUCAGCACGCGAUGAAGUUGUUGUUCUGAACAUACAGCUCGUCCAGAGUAACUAAAAAGCCUAUACCAGAAAAUAUGCCCCCACUAAAUGCAUUAUCAGCAACAUCACUGAUUUGAACAGUAAUAUUUCAAUACUAUUAUUUCAAUACUAUGUUCGUGGCACUUGCGAACUCUCAUUUCUUGCAAGCACUAUUUUUUGUGAAAUGCUUAUUGAUUUGAAGGUGCUUUCAGAUCAUGUUUCCUUCAACACUGCCUUGGGAAACAUUAAGGAUGCGGGUUCCAUCAGGUGACUUCACAUCAAGAUCGAUUCCAAUUUUACUGGUAUUACUUGAUUUGUUUACUGUGAUGUUAGCUGCUUCUGCUGUGCUGUUUUCAAUGUUUAAAAUGCAUUCAUUUCUGUAUUUUGACACUGCAUUUUGUGCUAUUAAUUAAUGCCAUUCUGAUCUGACCUCAAGUUCUAGGAGCAGCUAAGUGAAAUAAUAAUGUUUCUAAAUGUAUCUUCUCUUUUGUGCUUGUGUUUUGCUUGGUAUUGCUUCCCUGCUAUAAUCCUAGCUAUGUAAGCUUGAUGUCUGAUGAUUCUGUUUUCUCCCGCUCAUCUCAUUUUGUCAUAUGAACCAAAUCUGUACCUUAUGAAUACUUCAGCAAAGGUGAGGUUUCUAUUGUCUCAAGGAUGGUAACUGCACUUGUCAAACAUAAAAGCUUGUCCUAUCCUACGCUGACUUCUACCAGCUUGCUGGAGUCGUGGCAGUCGAGGUAACUGGCGGACCUGAUGUCCCCUUCCACCCCGGGAGGCAGGUGAGGCUGGUCUCUUUUCUAAUAAACCUUUUUAGUUUUAUAUUAGAUAUAAGAAGAUGCAGUGCUUGUCGGAGGCUCAUAAGUGUGGUUUGGAGAAUUGAUAACCUGUUCUUCGACAAAUACAGAUUGCUUCGAACCUGUGGCCUCUCAGUGAGACACACAUCCUUGGUCUUAUGUUGGAUAUGUAAAACUAAUCAUCAAGCCCUAGACUAAUCCAACCCAAACCCAAGAUUUUGGUAGGGUUUAUUUAAGCAAAACUAACCCUAUUGUCAUCAGCUUGUCUACCAUUGUACCUGGGAUUCUGGGAAAGUGGUCUUGAUGCUGACACAUGUUUCCACUGUUUGAUGGCCAGCUUAUGGUUAAAUAGAGGAUAACCUUGUAUAAUUAGUAACUAGCAGCAUACCUGUUAGGGGGCACUUGCCUUCUGGAAAGAUAAUGUCGCAAGCUAUCUCCACUAUCUUAUACUGCAUAGGUACUAGGAUAUUUGACAUUUGCAGAAACGAGUUUUUUUUUCUAGAGUAGUCUUCUAGCUGCAGAGGAGUAUGCUGACAUUGUGCUAACUUAGGCUUAUAUUUGCUUGCAUUGUUCUGUCCAUACUGCCUUAAUAUUGUAUAUUAUGGCUUCAUAAUGGUAUUUUCGGAUUGACUCAUUGAUGCAUAAUGGUAUUAUCGUAAAUCAUACUGCCUUAAUAUAGAGGAUUGGCAUAAUGAUAUUUGCUUGUGGGAUAUGCUUGUAGCCAUUCCGUUCUGAUGAUUCCAAUAGGAUCUUUCUUAGGGUUGGAUCUCCUCAUGGUUUUAUUUUAAUUAAAUAAGUCUGUGGUGCAGACACUAAUUUAUAUGAAUAUAACCUAUCCAUCAUUACUUCACUUCAAGUCUGGCACUGCCAUGUCUCUGUAUGCUUGAUAGUCUGUCUAAACCUUGGAGUAGCAGAUUGCCAUGGGUUGUUGUAUCGAUGAUGCUUAAGUAUGGGUAAGCUAAAUAGGGAUGCAAGUAGCAGAUUAUGCUAGAUUCUUGCACAGGGAAACUUAUGUAGUAUUGGGGGGUAACAAGUAGGUUCCUUUUUAAAGGUACACGUGAGCAUGCCUAUACUAUGCCAGAUGCUUGAUUAGUUCAAAAACAUUUGUGUGGGGGAGCUGUUUUAUUCUUGUUUAUUUAUCAGUUCAAACAGAUUGUCAUGAACAUGCUUGAUUGCCUUCGUUUGACAGAGAAACCUAUAGUAUAUAAAAUCAUGGGCAGAGGUCCCCAAACCAUGGUGUACUAUAGUGGGCCUUUGUACUUUGUAUCUAAUCAUCUAACCUUAGAUGCAGGCAUUAGUUUAUGUGUUGAUACCGUCAUACGCCGUUGUUUCAUAACAACGCCCAUCAGACAGAUAGAGAGUGACGACGACACUAGCUCACAUAUGAAGUGCUAAGGUUUCUUCCUUCUUGCGUGUUGGUGUAAAGAGCAGGUAAACCUGCUUGCGCGAUGGUACAAACAGCAGCAAGAAAGCUUUUUUUAAAAUUCUUCGAAGAGGCCGCCACUAAAUGGCUCCAUGAAUAAAUGGGUGUGAAAAGUCUUGGAUGCUUGGUUUGCUCACAGGGAUUGUAUUCUCCUACUAGCCACAUGAUCAGGCUAUGGAGUACGGAGUUCACAAAAUCUAGGAGAUGAACAACCUCGGGGUAACCCUCUCACUGUCUCAUGCCAGCAGCCGCACCCACGUCCUGUUCUGUCUCGCACGCUCUCGCCAACUUGUGGUUGUCCAUCCGCCGCCAAGCACCCGGCCCCAGCAGUCACACUAUUGCUUCUGUGAAAAUUAUACGGAACAAGCAGACUGGGCACUCAGAAGGCUAUGGUUUUAUUGAGUUUUCCUCUCGAGGUGCUGCAGAACAUACUCUGAUGAACUUCAAUGGGCAGAUGAUGUCGAAUGUUGAGAUAACUUUUAAGCUGAACUGGGCUUCUGCUAGCAUUGGUGAUAAGCGUGGAGAUAGUGGUUCUGAUCACACAAUAUUUGUUGGUGAUUUGGCUCAUGGUGUUACUGACUCCAUGUUGGAAGAUGUGUUCAGAGCUAAGUACCCUUCAGUUAGAGGAGCUAAUGUUGUUGUUGAUAGGAUGACUGGAUGGCCCAAAGGAUAUGGUUUCGUGCGUUUUGGAGAUCUGAAUAAUGCAUUGUGAAGAUGUACAUUUGUGCUUGUUUGAUCUGAAAAGGGGACAACUUUUAGAUAUAGCAUAAUAGGAUAUGAAGAUGAAAGAUCUGUACUUAGGAAUUUGUUCAUGAAUGC
Zea mays is the source of this 4631-nucleotide RNA transcript. RefSeq lists it as uncharacterized. The transcript is spliced from 6 exons. The record is from RefSeq and is a predicted model, not a curated record. Lineage: Eukaryota; Viridiplantae; Streptophyta; Magnoliopsida; Poales; Poaceae.